GAUGAAGAACGCAGUAAAAUGCGAUAAGUAGUGUGAAUUGCAGAAUUCAGUGAAUCAUCGAAUCUUUGAACGCACAUUGCGCCCCUUGGUAUUCCAUGGGGCAUGCCUGUUCGAGCGUCAUUUGUACCUUCAAGCUUUGCUUGGUGUUGGGUGUUUGUCUCGCCUUUGCGUGUAGACUCGGCUUAAAAUAAUUGGCAGCCGGCGUAUUGAUUUCGGAGCGCAGUACAUCUCGCGCUUUGCACUCAUAACGACAGCGUCCAAAAGUACAUUUUACACUCUUGACCUCGGAUCAGGUAGGGAUACCCGCUGAACUUAAGCAUAUCAAUAAGCGGAGGA
Molecule: unclassified non-coding RNA, 336 nt
Filed under: soil metagenome
Description: partial contains 5.8S ribosomal RNA, internal transcribed spacer 2, and large subunit ribosomal RNA
Rfam family: 5.8S ribosomal RNA (bases 1-120)
Source: RNAcentral